UACGGAGGGUCCAAGCGUUAUCCGGAAUCAUUGGGUUUAAAGGGUCCGUAGGCGGUUUUGUAAGUCAGUGGUGAAAGCCCAUCGCUCAACGGUGGAACGGCCAUUGAUACUGCAAGACUUGAAUUAUUGGGAAGCAACUAGAAUAUGUAGUGUAGCGGUGAAAUGCUUAGAUAUUACAUGGAAUACCAAUUGCGAAGGCAGGUUGCUACCAAUACAUUGACGCUGAUGGACGAAAGCGUGGGGAGCGAACAGG
Molecule: ribosomal RNA, 253 nt
Filed under: uncultured bacterium
Lineage: Bacteria
Description: partial 16S ribosomal RNA
Rfam family: Bacterial small subunit ribosomal RNA
Source: RNAcentral